This 753-nucleotide long non-coding RNA is filed under the name Polistes fuscatus (common paper wasp). Its description in RNAcentral is "uncharacterized LOC122521776". The record is from RNAcentral. Lineage: Eukaryota; Metazoa; Arthropoda; Insecta; Hymenoptera; Vespidae.
GGAGAGACAGUUGGUUUUUAAAUCUAGCAGGAGUGACAGUUGGUGUUUAAAUAUUGCAGGAGUGACAGUCAUUAAAUCUGGCAAGAGCGUUUUAGAAGUUUAGUAAAAAAUUUUGUAAAUUAAAUUUAAUUAAAAACGUAUUAGGAUUGGUAUCAAUAAUUAGAGAAACGGGAGCAUGAACUUUUAAUUGUUAAUUCUCUUAUUUUAGACGAAUCUAAUUGUGGUUCUUACUCUCAACAAAUUAAGGAUUACAAACAUAUUAUAUAUAUAUAAUAUGAGUAUAGUGAAAAACUAUAGAAAACAUUCAUAAAUAAAUAUAUAUAUAUGUAAAGAGAAUAUAUUCUCUUUAAACUUAUCGCGCUAAGUAUGAUCCGCGCGCCUCUAUGAUGGUAUAUAAGCAAAGAAAAGUGAGAACGUAUUUAGUUUAUAAAUUUCGUUAAAUAAAGAUACAUUAGUAAUUGUUAUUAACCGUACGGGUGAUCAACGAAUAGUGUUGUGAAAGAAGGACGAAUAACUGACGUUAUCAUCGUCGUUUCUCUUAUUUUACAGAGAAACUAAUUGGACAACUUAUUUGGACCAUUAUAAACCCUCGAUAUAGAAAAAUAUUACAUAUAUAAAUAAUAAAUACUACAAGAAAAAAUAAAUAACUAUAAAUUAAAUUUCUGAUAUUAAGGCGUAUGAGAAGUUACAUGUAUCUUAUUUGAAAAAUCCGGAAUGUAUACGCGAUACGAAAUAGAAUGAUGAUCACAAUAA